Nicotiana tabacum (common tobacco) is the source of this 318-nucleotide non-coding RNA. The record is from RefSeq and is a predicted model, not a curated record. Lineage: Eukaryota; Viridiplantae; Streptophyta; Magnoliopsida; Solanales; Solanaceae.
UUCAUAAUAAACCGGAACAGAAGAGUCAAAAACUUGAGGAAAUUCAAGAAAACCCCCCAAACCCCAGCAGUCUCUGCUUCCCUUCUCUCACUACAGAUGUAUCGUUUUGGCAUGAUUUUAUAGCGUCUCUCGCCUAAGAAAAUUUGAAAAAAAAAAAAAAGAACCACUCAAUCUUCAAUAUGGAUUUGUUUAGGCAGGCUAUCCUGCGCCCAGGGCCACCUGAAGAGUUCGCACUUCGAACUGUUCAAGAAGCAAUAAAACCUCAGAAGCAAAUAAAGCUAGUCCAAGACGAGAAUCAGCUGCUGGAGAAUAUUCUCA